GCCGGGUGCAGUGGCGCGUGCCUGUAGUCCCAGCUACUUGGGAGGCUGAGGUGGGAGGAGUUCUGGGCUGUAGUGUGCUGUGCCGAUCUGGUGUCCGUACUAAGUUUGGCAUCAAUAUGGUGACCUCUCGGGAGCGGGGGACCACCAGGUUGCUUAAGGAGGGGUGAACCAGCCCAGGUCAGAAACAGAGCAGGUCAAAACUCCAUGCUGAUCAGUAGUGGGAUUGCACCUGUGAAUAGUCACUGUGCUCCAGCCUAGGCAACAUAGCAAGAUCCUGUCUCU
This 282-nucleotide signal recognition particle RNA is filed under the name Aotus nancymaae (Ma's night monkey). Its description in RNAcentral is "Metazoan signal recognition particle RNA (ENSANAG00000009576.1)". It matches the Rfam family "Metazoan signal recognition particle RNA". Rfam says of the family: The signal recognition particle (SRP) is a universally conserved ribonucleoprotein. It is involved in the co-translational targeting of proteins to membranes. Lineage: Eukaryota; Metazoa; Chordata; Mammalia; Primates; Aotidae. The record is from RNAcentral.